CGGACGGGUGAGUAACGCGUGAGAAUCUGCCCUCAGGAGGGGGACAACAGCUGGAAACGGCUGCUAAUACCCCAUAUGCCGCGAGGUGAAAUGAAUUUCGCCUGAGGAUGAGCUCGCGUUUGAUUAGCUAGUUGGUGUAGGUAAUGGCUCACCAAGGCAUCGAUCAGUAGCUGGUCUGAGAGGACGAUCAGCCACACUGGGACUGAGACACGGCCCAGACUCCUACGGGAGGCAGCAGUAGGGAAUUUUCCGCAAUGGGCGAAAGCCUGACGGAGCAACGCCGCGUGAGGGACUAAGGCCUUUGGGCUGUAAACCUCUUUUCUCAAGGAAGAAGAUCUGACGGUACUUGAGGAAUAAGCCACGGCUAAUUCCGUGCCAGCAGCCGCGGUAAUACGGGAGUGGCAAGCGUUAUCCGGAAUUAUUGGGCGUAAAGCGUCCGCAGGCGGCCAAGCAAGUCUGUUGUUAAAGCGUGGAGCUCAACUCCAUCACUGCAAUGGAAACUGCUAGGCUUGAGUGUGGCAGGGGCAGAGGGAAUUUCCGGUGUAGCAGUGAAAUGCGUAGAUAUCGGGAAGAACACCAGUGGCAAAAACGCUCUGCUGGGCCAUUACUGACGCUCAUGGACGAAAGCCAGGGGAGCGAAAGGGAUUAGAUACCCCAGUAGUC
Molecule: ribosomal RNA, 663 nt
Filed under: uncultured cyanobacterium
Lineage: Bacteria; Bacillati; Cyanobacteriota
Description: bacterial SSU rRNA
Rfam family: Bacterial small subunit ribosomal RNA
Source: RNAcentral